This 919-nucleotide ribosomal RNA is filed under the name uncultured Gammaproteobacteria bacterium. RNAcentral's name for it is "bacterial SSU rRNA". It matches the Rfam family "Bacterial small subunit ribosomal RNA", at positions 480 to 1398 of the family's 1533-position model. The record is from RNAcentral. Lineage: Bacteria; Pseudomonadati; Pseudomonadota; Gammaproteobacteria.
CGCAGAAGAAGCACCGGCUAACUCCGUGCCAGCAGCCGCGGUAAUACGGAGGGUGCAAGCGUUAAUCGGAAUUACUGGGCGUAAAGCGCGCGUAGGUGGCUUGAUAAGCCGGUUGUGAAAGCCCCGGGCUCAACCUGGGAACGGCAUCCGGAACUGUCAGGCUAGAGUGCAGGAGAGGAAGGUAGAAUUCCCGGUGUAGCGGUGAAAUGCGUAGAGAUCGGGAGGAAUACCAGUGGCGAAGGCGGCCUUCUGGACUGACACUGACACUGAGGUGCGAAAGCGUGGGUAGCAAACAGGAUUAGAUACCCUGGUAGUCCACGCCGUAAACGAUGUCGACCAGCCGUUGGGUGCCUAGAGCACUUUGUGGCGAAGUUAACGCGAUAAGUCGACCGCCUGGGGAGUACGGCCGCAAGGUUAAAACUCAAAUGAAUUGACGGGGGCCCGCACAAGCGGUGGAGCAUGUGGUUUAAUUCGAUGCAACGCGAAGAACCUUACCUACCCUUGACAUCUACAGAAGCCGGAAGAGAUUCUGGUGUGCCUUCGGGUACUGUAAGACAGGUGCUGCAUGGCUGUCGUCAGCUCGUGUUGUGAAAUGUUGGGUUAAGUCCCGUAACGAGCGCAACCCUUGUCCUUAUUUGCCAGCACGUAAUGGUGGGAACUCUAAGGAGACUGCCGGUGACAAACCGGAGGAAGGUGGGGACGACGUCAAGUCAUCAUGGCCCUUACGGGUAGGGCUACACACGUGCUACAAUGGCCGGUACAAAGGGCUGCGAGCUCGCGAGAGUCAGCGAAUCCCUUAAAGCCGGUCUCAGUCCGGAUCGGAGUCUGCAACUCGACUCCGUGAAGUCGGAAUCGCUAGUAAUCGUGAAUCAGAAUGUCACGGUGAAUACGUUCCCGGGCCUUGUACACACCGCCCGUC